AUACUGGACAGGCCGAGUCCUAGAACAGCACACACACGGCUCUCCAGCCAUUGAGGGAAGGCAAAUGGAGGUGAAGUAAUAGUGGUCUGGCCCAACUGCAAUAUCCAGAGACUUUUCGGUGUCAUAUGAAAGAAAAGGAGCAGGAAGCCAAGAUGCCCCACCUGGCUUCUACAUCAGGGUGAUCUGCAUAGGCCUGCUCUCUGUCAUGUGAUGCUAUACUACAGCCAGGCUGGAAUUUGGUGUCUUAUUGCUACAAAGAAUCAGCUUUGUCAAUCCUAAGGUCACUGAGAGGCUGCCAGAGGGCCAUUUUCAUGACCAGAGGGAUCUGUUCAACACCCUGUGGGUCCCAGCACCUAUCUCAGGAAGCAGGGUGCAUCUGUCCACCACCAAGUCUCAGGGUGGCUGGGUGAGCGCUCAUCAGUCCCAGACAGCAGGUUGGCACAAAACGACACUGCCCACAAAACCACAGGAAGAAGAGAAACUCCGACUGUCUUUCAGCACACAGAAGACACUGUACUGGACCCGGACAUUAGGCAGACACCCACGCCUGACUUUCAGGAGAAAAGAGAACAUGACUAACGGAUAUUCUUAGUAGAUGGUUUAUUAGAAAAGAGAACAUCUUCCAGCAUGUGUCCUGGGGUGAUGGGUGUGGGAAGCACUCAGUCCAUAGUCCUGGUCCCUGGCUUCCCCAAGCCCAGCACCAUGAAUGUACAGUGGAAAGCAGAGGGUGCAGCGUCUCAGAAAGAUGCUUCCACUCACAAGGAUUGGAGCUCACAAGUGAGCUCCAUAACCUGCAAACCAGAGAAACCUGAGACACUGCCCCUUGGCCAUUUUAUCAACGGAGACUUUAUUGUGAUUAUCCCGGCAGGGGGCCGAGCUCUCCUCUCUGCAACAGGAAAUGCUCUUUAGUGAAAAUGCAGCAUUUCUCCAAGGGUAACAAAGCUGAACGCCUGCUUAGCUUAUGAACCCUCAGUUGGCCUAGGUGGUGCAAAGACCCUGCUGUUACUGCUUUGAUCAUCAGUACUGUGGACUGUACCAGGAGAUCCCUGGGAAUGUGCUCUGGGCGGAAGCAGCUUUUAUCUUUGGCCCUCACCCAUGCUUUAUAUGGUGAGGUUGGGAAAAUGGCACAAGGCUUCUCCUGAACCUCAAAUCAACACCCUUGCCCCAUUUAGAUCCUAUCUGGCUGUUUCUUGCUAAUAUUACUGCAUCACUGCA
This is a long non-coding RNA of Homo sapiens (human), 1215 nucleotides long. Ensembl annotates it as long intergenic non-protein coding RNA 1366. Lineage: Eukaryota; Metazoa; Chordata; Mammalia; Primates; Hominidae. The record is from Ensembl.